Molecule: ribosomal RNA, 404 nt
Filed under: Psychrobacter sp.
Lineage: Bacteria; Pseudomonadati; Pseudomonadota; Gammaproteobacteria; Moraxellales; Moraxellaceae
Description: bacterial SSU rRNA
Rfam family: Bacterial small subunit ribosomal RNA
Source: RNAcentral
UGCUAUCAGGCGUCGAGCGGCGGACGGGUGAGUAAUACUUAGGAAUCUACCUAGUAGUGGGGGAUAGCACGGGGAAACUCGUAUUAAUACCGCAUACGACCUACGGGAGAAAGGGGGCAGUUUACUGCUCUCGCUAUUAGAUGAGCCUAAGUCGGAUUAGCUAGAUGGUGGGGUAAAGGCCUACCAUGGCGACGAUCUGUAGCUGGUCUGAGAGGAUGAUCAGCCACACCGGGACUGAGACACGGCCCGGACUCCUACGGGAGGCAGCAGUGGGGAAUAUUGGACAAUGGGGGAAACCCUGAUCCAGCCAUGCCGCGUGUGUGAAGAAGGCCUUUUGGUUGUAAAGCACUUUAAGCAGUGAAGAAGACUCUUCGGUUAAUACCCGGAGACGAUGACAUUAGCUG